ACGAACGCUGGCGGCGUGCUUCACCCAUGCCAGUCGAACGGAAAGGCCCUGCUUUUGUGGGGUGCUCGAGUGGCGAACGGGUGAGUAACACGUGAGUAACCUGCCCUUGACUUUGGGAUAACUUCAGGAAACUGGGGCUAAUACCGGAUAGGAGCUCCUGCUGCAUGGUGGGGGUUGGAAAGUUUCGGCGGUUGGGGAUGGACUCGCGGCUUAUCAGCUUGUUGGUGGGGUAGUGGCUUACCAAGGCUUUGACGGGUAGCCGGCCUGAGAGGGUGACCGGCCACAUUGGGACUGAGAUACGGCCCAGACUCCUACGGGAGGCGGCAGUGGGGAAUAUUGCACAAUGGGCGGAAGCCUGAUGCAGCAACGCCGCGUGCGGGAUGACGGCCUUCGGGUUGUAAACCGCUUUCGCCUGUGACGAAGCGUGAGUGACGGUAAUGGGUAAAGAAGCACCGGCUAACUACGUG
RNAcentral lists this ribosomal RNA (467 nucleotides) under uncultured bacterium. Its description in RNAcentral is "partial 16S ribosomal RNA". It matches the Rfam family "Bacterial small subunit ribosomal RNA", at positions 29 to 507 of the family's 1533-position model. The record is from RNAcentral.